Molecule: ribosomal RNA, 253 nt
Filed under: uncultured bacterium
Lineage: Bacteria
Description: partial 16S ribosomal RNA
Rfam family: Bacterial small subunit ribosomal RNA
Source: RNAcentral
UACGGAGGGAGCUAGCGUUGUUCGGAAUUACUGGGCGUAAAGCGCGCGUAGGCGGCUUUGUAAGUUAGAGGUGAAAGCCCGGGGCUCAACCCCGGAACUGCCUUUAAGACUGCAUCGCUUGAAUCCGGGAGAGGUGAGUGGAAUUCCGAGUGUAGAGGUGAAAUUCGUAGAUAUUCGGAAGAACACCAGUGACGAAGGCGGCUCACUGGACCGGUAUUGACGCUGAGGUGCGAAAGCGUGGGGAGCAAACAGG